AUCACAGAGCGUCUGAACCACCUGAUCCCAUCCCGAACUCAGAAGUGAAAAGUCGCAUCGCCGAUGGUAGUGUGGGAGUUCCCAUGUGAGAGUAGGUCGUUAUCAAGAUU
Molecule: ribosomal RNA, 110 nt
Filed under: Marinomonas sp. MED121
Lineage: Bacteria; Pseudomonadati; Pseudomonadota; Gammaproteobacteria; Oceanospirillales; Oceanospirillaceae
Source: RNAcentral